RNAcentral lists this non-coding RNA (183 nucleotides) under Gammaproteobacteria bacterium. RNAcentral's name for it is "6S RNA". It matches the Rfam family "6S / SsrS RNA". Rfam says of the family: E. coli 6S RNA was the first non coding RNA to be sequenced, but its function was unknown until recently. The record is from RNAcentral. Lineage: Bacteria; Pseudomonadati; Pseudomonadota; Gammaproteobacteria.
GAUAGCCUGCGGUGCUCGAGUUUCAUUAAAAGACCUCUCGGCCCUUAAUUAAAUAAACAGGGAUCAACGUCUGCAUUAGUAUUGUGCAUUACCAUUGAUUGGGAAGCCUACGUUAAUGCGUCAGAGCCCACCUAUUGCUCAGGCCUGAGAGCAACGUAUGGGACACGGUAUUGUGGGUCAUCU